UUAUAUAAAUUAUAUAUUCUGUGAAUUAUUAUUUUUCUUUUCUGCAUUUCACCUCUGCUAUAGUAUAUGCCUUAUACCUGGCAUUGUAUAAUAAAUAUUGUUGUCUCUGUAACAGUAUGCUUAUGUUCCUAGGUUCUUCCAUGCUGAUGGCUGUGCUCUAGUCAUAUCUCCUGUCGAAGAACAUUUUUAGACAUUAUGAACCAUGAAUAAGUUUAGCUCCAACCCCAGUUAAGCAGACCUGAGCAGCUGAUCAAGGAUCAGCAGAAACUCUGCAGAACGGUGGUCCUCCAGCCCAGGACUGGACACCAGUGUUAGUGUCUGUCUCAGAAGCUGAAGAAAAAAGGUCACACCUUAUAGGAAAUAAACGCCUCCUAAGUGUACGGAAAUACCUGGCUGAGGAGAUCAGUGACAUAAACCAGAUAAAACUGUCAUUGGUAAGUGUUUGCAUAUCCAUAUCCGAAUGGAAUUGCUACAACCUCUUAUCUAAUAUGACUCGAAGUCUGAGACAGCUACAAGCCACAAAAACAGUUCAUAGUUCCUGCAUUUCUAUAAUGCAUUAAUGAAUAACAAUAAUUAAAAUAAAAUGUAAUGUCAAGGUUUUGUGUUAAUUCCAGCUAUGUUGAGUAUUCUGUGAAUAAUUUUGAUUUUAGGUGCAUAUUCUUAAUUCUUUGCAAAACAACCUGAACUGUUUGCUAUUGAAAGGUUGGUAUGAAGUUUAAAUAAAUAAAAACAUUAUAUUCUUGACAAAACCUGUGUACAGUUUGUAUUAAUAAUUUAAAUUAUUUACUUAUAUUAAUUAAUGGCCUAAUUACCAGCUAUCAGUUAAACAUUCAAAUCAGAACCAAUAUAAAACUGCAACGAAAACUAUUAAAUAUAUGCAAAUAAAGACCAGUACAAACUUGCA
Carassius gibelio (silver crucian carp) is the source of this 904-nucleotide long non-coding RNA. RefSeq lists it as uncharacterized. The transcript has 4 exons. NCBI's taxonomy places the organism in Eukaryota, Metazoa, Chordata, Actinopteri, Cypriniformes, Cyprinidae. The record is from RefSeq and is a predicted model, not a curated record.